Molecule: ribosomal RNA, 301 nt
Filed under: uncultured bacterium
Lineage: Bacteria
Description: partial 16S ribosomal RNA
Rfam family: Bacterial small subunit ribosomal RNA
Source: RNAcentral
CAGUAGCCGCGGGAAUACAGAGGGUGCAAGCGUUAAUCGGAAUUACUGGGCGUAAAGCGCGCGUAGGUGGUUUGUUAAGUUGGAUGUGAAAUCCCCGGGCUCAACCUGGGAACUGCAUCCAAAACUGGCAAGCUAGAGUAUGGUAGAGGGUGGUGGAAUUUCCUGUGUAGCGGUGAAAUGCGUAGAUAUAGGAAGGAACACCAGUGGCGAAGGCGACCACCUGGACUGAUACUGACACUGAGGUGCGAAAGCGUGGGGAGCAAACAGGAUUAGAGACCCCCGUAGUCCCUGUCUCUUAUAC